UAAUACGUAGGUGGCAAGCGUUGUCCGGAGUUAUUGGGCGUAAAGCGCGCGCAGGCGGUUCGGGAAGUCCAUGGUGAAAGCGCCCGGCUCAACUGGGCGAGUGCCGUGGGGACUAUCGAGCUGGAGGGGAGCAGAGGCGAGUGGAAUUCCGGGUGUAGUGGUGAAAUGCGUAGAGAUCCGGAGGAACACCAGUGGCGAAGGCGGCUCGCUGGGCUCUACCUGACGCUGAGGCGCGAAAGCGUGGGGAGCGAACCGGAUUAGAUACCCGGGUAGUCCACGCCGUAAACGAUGGACACUAGGUGUGGGGGGUAUCGACCCCCUCUGUGCCGAAGCUAACGCGAUAAGUGUCCCGCCUGGGGAGUACGGCCGCAAGGCUA
Molecule: ribosomal RNA, 377 nt
Filed under: uncultured bacterium
Lineage: Bacteria
Description: bacterial SSU rRNA
Rfam family: Bacterial small subunit ribosomal RNA
Source: RNAcentral